CAAAUACCAACGUUAUUAUGCGUGGGUGGCGGGCGGCUUGUGCCGAAGAAGGAAAGGACAGAGGUGGUGGUUUAUCGCCCGCCCAAGGGGGACGAGUGGCCCCUGGGCCGGGCCGAAGGGGGGUUACGGGAGGCUCUGUUUCACGCCCCUUGGUUGGCUUGUCAUCCGGCGGUCCCUGGCUGGGCCGGGCAGCUCUGUCGUCAGGCGGGUUGGCACGGCCGGGCCGCGAAGACGAACCUGGAACUUCUUUCCCCUAAACUCGCCAGGUCCCCGUUCCCCCCCCCCCCGCCCCCCCGGUCUCCUCUUUCCAAGAAGUCCACUUGGGUUUGGCAGGUGACCCCUCUUCCUUAUGUCUUCCUAGCGUUCUGGCUCGGCCCGCCCCGCCCCGGAGGCCAUGGCUCAGCAGCUGGAAGCCAAGCUGAAUCCCCGCUCUCGGACCUCAUCGGGACGCCCGUGGGGGACAACUGCCAAGUGGCUGAGCCUGCAUCUGCUGUGCGCGUUCGUCCGCCUCGGUGCCGGGGACUCCUCGACAGGGUCCGACCGGAGCAGGUGCCAGCUGGGGAGCACUCGGGUUGGAGUCGAACUGAGGUCUUGGGAGAAGAUCACCACCGGCUCCUGGGCAGAACCCACUUCCCCCUCCAGUCGUAUGCUGGGCCGUCUGCUGCAGGACCCCCAUCUGUGAUGCCUUUUGUGGUCGGAAGGCCUGUGCUUCGCGGUGGACUGCCGCGGGUCCCAGAGCUGUCAAGCCGCCGGGAGGACCGCUUCCCUUCCCGCUCCGUCCUGGGGUUCGUCCGGAAGCCCGCAGGCCGCUCGCGACCCACCACUCCCCUGGGAAGAGGAAGCUCCAGGCCGGCACCUCCCGGAGCUGCGGAGGAGCCGGGCGGCCAGGAGAACCCGGAGAUCUUCCCGGGACGAACCGCAGGUGGCUGAGUACUGGAAGCUUCAGCCCAGGGACCUCCCCAGGGACCCUAGACCUGCAGGGGGCUCCAAAUCAGGCGAGCCAGAACCAGCCAGUGAGCUCCGGGUCCCCGACGCCAGAGCCGAGGACCCUCGGGCCCCAAGGGAGAACCCCGUCCCCAAACAGUGAAGUCUCGAGCGCCCCCAGACCCUUCGU
Molecule: long non-coding RNA, 1114 nt
Filed under: Ornithorhynchus anatinus (platypus)
Lineage: Eukaryota; Metazoa; Chordata; Mammalia; Monotremata; Ornithorhynchidae
Description: lncRNA (ENSOANG00000047608.1)
Source: RNAcentral